ACAUUUAUAUUGCACAAUCUCUAGAAUCUCUAUACUUGAUGAAAAGCAUGAAGGAGUACAGUGGCAAGGUGGGUGUCUAAUUCCAGAUCUAAACUGCACUUUUUCCUGAUGUUUUUCAUUAUUUCUGUAAAGAAGAAGGAGUUUAGAAGGAUCAAAAGCUCUGAGCUGCUUUGAGAAUGACAUUCUGGAGUCCUUCAUCCUGAAAGAUGCCACAUUGGGAUAAACAACCUCAAGGGCUAGGACACUGGCACAGAAAAGCAGAUAAUAUCACUGGCUGUGAAGAAAAAGUGUGGCUGUAUGGCAGCCCCAAUAAAUGAGAGCAAAUGAAAGUGAAGUAAUCAAUUCAAUAAAAGUAUGCUUGUGUGCUGUUGUACAAAAUUGACACUUUUAUUUUUGUAUUUGUAGUUAAACGUGCACUCUUCCUCCAGCUCCUUUCUAUCUUAUUUAUUCAGACUGUAUACUCUUUUGGAAAGGUCAGUCUAGUAUUAGGACUAUGCAUUGGAUCCUGGAGCUAUCAUAGAGCAAAUGUUUAAAAUUGAGUCUUUGAAUAACAGAUUGAAUAAACACAGGGAUAGAGAUUUAUAGCUGCUGGUGGAGUGUGGAAUUUCUAAAACUGCACUACAUAAAAAGGAGGGAAAUUAAGGAGAAUUUAGCAACUGACAAAAUACAUGUCCUCUAAGUCAUUGAUGUCACAGACCACAAGUGUAUUCAAAGAACAUUAACAACAAAAAAAAUCAUACAGAAAUUGAGAUUGAGAUUGUCAGAACUGGGUAUUUCCUCUGGACCACAUGUGUUAUUUUUUCUUAAAGAGGUCUUACUUGUGAAUAUAAAACCAAAUGAAAUCCCCACCAACCAAACAACAACAAUAAGAUCAUGAUAACAAAGCAGGAUUUCAAAUUUCUCCUUUGUAAUAUUUAUUAUAUUCCAAAUCUAUUGCAAGAUAAACCAUCACACAUACAUACAUGUAUAUAUACUAUAUAUACUAUAUAGACACUUAUUUGCAAAAAAUAGGGCUAUCCUAUAACAACCAGUGAGUAAAGCAAACCACAGUAACAUCCAAUAGCAUUAAUUUCAGUGAUAGCACAUCUGCACUAAAAGCAGCUUUCUCUCUUCGCAGUGUAUGCUUUCCAAGCAAGAUCAAGAAAGGAUUCUGAUGGUUUUAACUCUAUCCUAAAGCAAGAUGAUCACUAAAUCAGAUAAACUAUUAAUCUGUUUAAAGCUUGUUACUCCUGUUUUGCCAAGGCUGAGAUGCUUUGCAGCAAAAAAAACCAGCCAGGACUCUGCCUGCCAAGAAUCAGACAUCUCAUGCAUGUUUCAUAAAUGUUUCUCCACUGAAAACUCAAGGAUUAAGCAAACACUGGUUCAGUUUGCAAAAGGUUCCACUAAUGAUUUUAAAUAACUCAGAAAGAAAUCUUGGCCCCAUUUAAAGCAACAGUAAAUUUUUCCUCUAUCUUUUAGCCUCAAUACAAGCCCUCUAAAAUUUAUAUGUCAUCCCAGUGCACUGAAUAUGCUGAUAACUAUUUUUGCUACACUUGUUAAACUCCUAAAUAUCUCGAUAUAUGGCUUUUUACUGUUAAGUAAAAUCUCCUUAAAAUUUGUAUAGAUUAAUCCAUACUUAUCCCUGCAUUGACUGUUCAUAGAAAAUACUCACUUUUAGAAACUAAGGUUUCAUAACAAAGCUUUGCCAUUUAUAACAUAACACCACCACACCCUAAAAUAUUGUGUGAAAUAGAUGAGCUCUCAAGUAAGCACCUUUUAUAGCAAGAUGAAAAAUAUUUUGACAGCAUAGCAACAUUGUGUCUAAAAGAAUGUUGCUAAAGAGUCCUCCUUUACUUAGAAAAUCAUAAGCUUGAUGCAGAGUGGAUAAAUAAUAAUAAACAUCAAGAUUUGCUUUCCAAGUAUGUUGGAAUACCAACAUGGAAUAUUAAAACACACUAAGAAAUGGGCUUACCGCCUGAUAUGCAUUAUGAUCAUAAUCACUGUCAUUGUACCUCACACACCUCACACAACUGGGAACUCAGUGGGGAGAAGAUGAAGAGAAAUUUUCCUUUCCAGGCAAUAAAAUGGCAAGAGAGCUGCUGACAAACAGCCACUGGGUGACUGCAGUAGCCUCUGCUGCUCUAAUGAGGCACAGAUGUAGGUGCAGCUGGAAAGGCUUGAAGGGCUGGCGCAGCGCAGCGCUCAGUGGACCACGUCCAGCCCCAGCCACACAGAGCUCACAGGAGAAAUCCUGCCUUCUGCUUCCCCAACGUGAGGGACUCUCCCUUAACUGGUGACCCUGUGGAGAUUCAGCUGCAAAAGCACACAGCAUGCUCAUGAAGUAGAGAAGAUCACAUGCCAUUUAACUAUCACAGGAUAUUUAAGCUCCGUAGUGGCUGUGUGAAUGUCACCAUAUUGCUGUGGAACAUAUCACCUGAAGGGAAAAUAUUAAAAAGCAUUUCAUGUGUGUGUACUGUACUGAACUAUCUGUAUGUAAGUGCACUGUGUGUAUACAUGUGCACACUUUGGUAGAAAGUACUUUAUACUCACAGGUGUACAAUAAAAGAAUGUAAUUAAUGCUCUUUGUGCUGUUUGCAUUUUGCAGUUUGCAAGCACAAAACCACAGAAUUCCCAUGGUCCUUUUUUCAUUAAAUGAUCUAAAUCUCUCAGCCUUGCUCUUUAAAAUCACAAAGUAUGUUCCAGACCACAUAAAUUCACAAGACAGAGGGCAGUGCUGCACUGCAGUAAUUGGGUCUCAGAAAGCCUGGACACCAGAAGCCGUGGCCUCGUGGCAGCGUGAGGUACCUCUGCUAGCUUGAACAGAUGCUGUGUGCUAUGGUCGUGGCUGGACUGCUACGAGUGUGAAAAAACAGGCUUGUUUGCCCAAAGUCACACUGCUGUGGGGCACAAGACUUAGCUGAACAAGUUUCCUUAAGGCUCAGGGCGUACUUGAAAGCAAGCCAUGUGGUCCUUUAGCUGACAGCAUUAGCCAGAACAUCCAAGUACACCUCUCACUAGAAAUCAGAAGUUAAUUUUUCUUCUCUGUUGGAAGUUGCAUGCAUUAAUUAGUCCUAAGAAAAUUAAUAUAGUCAAGAUUGCUUAAAAAAAUGCAAGGUUUAUUUGGCUUAGGAAACAGAGAUAAAAUGCAAAAUAGUAUGCAUUCUACAGAACUAAAGUCACUGAGUCAAAAAAUUGUGUAGCAACUGAACUUGCUAACGUUAAAUGUGUUUGUGUGCAUGUACAAAAUAGUAAAUAUAUGAAGUAGCUCUAAGAGUCCUCUCUGAUACCUUGGAUUUGUAAAGCAGCUUUUUUGAGCACCCUCUUCCUCUCAUGGUUUAACCCCAGCCAGCAACCAAGUCUCACACAACUCUCUCGUUUUCCCUUGGUGGGAUGGGGGAGAGAAUCAGAAGAGUAAAAACAGAAAAACGCAUGGGUUGAGAUACACACAGCGUACUAGGUAGAACAGAAGUCACAAAGAAGGAAAUCAUACACUGCUUCUUUGGGCAGGUAGGUAUUCAACCAUGCCAUGAAAGCAGGGCUCCAGCACACCAAACCAUUUCUUGGGAAGAUAAACACUGUCACUGCAAACAUCCCACUCCUUCUUGCUUCUUCCCAAGCUUCCUUUUAUCAACAUUGUUUUCACACAGACACAACACAAAGCUUCAUACUAGCUGCUGUGAAGAAAAUUGACUGUAUCCCCACCAAACUACACCGAAAAUCCAGUCCUAAAGGGAAAUGCUGAUCUCAUUGUAAGCAAUCAAAAAAUUUAAUUUGAUUACAGUGACAUGAAAAUACUACCAUGGACAUUCCUUCCUUCUUCAUGGAACAUAAAAUACUUGACAGGCUCUUAAUACAAACUCUGCUUUAGCUGAUGGGGAACUCUCUUUUAAUUUCAACAGGUACCUCGUACAAUAAUAUAAAACCUGGUUUGAGACAAGGAACACCAUAUGUGUCCCUUCUGGAUCUACAAAGAUCUCUACUUGGUAAUAACAGUCAUUCAGUAGAAAACAAAACAAUACAGAAUACAAACACCUUUGUGAUCUUUACAGUUGCAUUUUUAAGUUAAAUAUUUACUAUAUUCUUUCUGUUUAUGGCACUAAAUUUAUUUGGUUUUAUGCUACCAAAUAACAUACUCAUACAAUCUUGAAAGAGGUAACAAUAUUUUAUCAAUUUUAUAUACAGUGGUAUUGUUCUGCCCAGGAUAUGAGAUCUCCUUUUUCAGAGAGAUCAGGCUUCCAUCAUAUCAUCCAUUUGUUGGUAAAUAUUUUGAUGUCAAGCGCGGUCUCUAUUGCAAAUUCUAAAAGGUUUUACUUGGAUCACUUAACUUUUCUGCUUACUCAGAAACCUGUGACACAGCUGUAAUGAGAUGUUGAUGGGGAAAGGUGCUAUUUCUUUUUAAUGCAAAAGUAGCCAGUGAUUCCAGCAUGUCAGGAUACAGCAUAGCCUCACAGAAACAGCAUAGCCUCACAGAAGGAAAGCUCCUGACAAGAGGAAGAUAUAUGAGUGAAGAGGAUUUCUCAGGCUAGUAAGCAGAAACCCUGGCUGUCUAGCUGAGGAGAGGAUGAGAGAAUAAGACUGAAGACAAGAAAAAUGGAUACCUUAAUCAACAUACCUACACACAUUUAUAUACUGCUUUUCUCAUUUUCUAUAAAUGCAACACACAAACAAAAAAAUCCAUCCAAUUUUCUAUGUCAGAAUUCAUGUACGAAAACAUUUCCCUGUGACAAUAAUUUGUAAUGCAGAAAUUCAUUAUAUUUCCACUGCACAUUUACAUCCUCUGCUUUCCUAUGCCUGAGUGAGUAGGCUGCUUGUUUCUGUCUCUCCAUUCUCCUUGCUUUGGAUGUAACAAAUCUCCCUUUCUGGGGUCUCCAAAAGCUCAUUCUUCUUCCACAUAAAAGCUCUCUGUAAUGACUGAGAAACAGUAAAACACAUCCAAAUAGAAUUUCAGAUAUACUACCGGACUGUUUGUUUUGCAUUUGAUGUGCACACAGGUAGAUAAUGGAAUAUUAAGCUUCAUUCAGAAGAGCUCUGCUGUUCUUGAAGCAGACUGUUUAAGCUCCAUGAGCCAGUAAAUGCAUCUACAUGACUCAUUUGACCGCUGGGGCAAGCACCUACACUUCAGGAUUAGGAGGUCUACUGCUAUGUACAAUACAAAUCAUGUCUACUGCCUGACCACUGCAUACUGGGCUCUGUGGUGGAAAUAGUUAUUUGGCAAAAUGCUCUUAAUUUGAAGAUCUCAUUUUAACUUUGCCUAUAGUUCUCUAUGCAUCAUCAGCCCAAGAAAAGGUUAAUAAAUUGUAGAAUUUGUAAAAACUCAACUAAUCUUCUCUCCAGCUACCAGGCCAGCUGUGAAAGAUUUGCUUUGAUAUGGGAAAUAGGAAAAGCUUGAGUCACCUUUCUUAUCCUCACUCUGUAAACACUGCUUGGCAGUCUAGAUCACAUUUAAGUACUCAGCUGUUGUAGUUUGGGCCAUUAGUCAACUCCUGACCUUAUUCCUCUCUGCCAGGGAUUGACAAAAGCAAACAAUUGCCAGGGACCUGGAUAAAAAGCAGGUCAGGUAGUCAUUCUUCACAAUCAAUCCAUCCAUCUGUGAAAAAGAGGACUUUCAUAUUUAGGUGUUAUGCCACCAGCAUAAAAUGUCUCCUGGAAAUUUUGCCUCUCCUCAUUUUGGGGAGAGUCAUACCCAACUGCCUACUUUGCUACACUUCAUUACAGGAAAAGUGAUGGGGUAUUUCUUCCAAUGCUUUGAGUAGCAAUCUGCUGAAAAACUCUUUCUGGUGAUGCAGGUUUUAAUUUUUGAUACAAAAAAUUAAAAUUAAAUUUAAGAUGAAAGAGCUUCUGAAACCCUUUUCUAUUUGAAAGCAUAAGACAAGUUUUGUUCAGAAACAAUAACAUAGGGUGAGACAUAAAAUACUACGAUCUAAAACUAAUAUAAAUGGUUACUGAGAAUUAAGUCACAAAGAGAAAGCAUAAAUUAAAAUACAUAUGGCUCAGACACAGUUCACACGUUUACUUUAUAUUGUUGGAAUAUUUUAGAAACUGUGCUUCUAUGGGGCACUGCAGAAAGAAAAAAAUGCUAUUUUCAAAAUUACCCAUAAAAUUGUUUUUAUUUUUAUUUCACACUAUGGCACUAACACAAACUUGUCAGUGGUAAUCUAAAUUCAGAAUACAGUGCACCAGACCUUCUUCUGCAGUUAUUCUGCUACUGCUUUUUUAUUUUGUGCAGUAAUUUAAACCCAUUGGAAUAUCACACUGUUGUCUUUACUCUCAAUCUAAUUCUCACUGCAUCCUAAUAGGCCAAGCUGUCAUGGCAGGCGUAAUAAACAACUUCUGCAUUGUCAAAUAUAUGCAGAAAUUGAAGGACAUAAACUAAGAAAGCUCCUGCACUAAAUCUAAGAACUAACUGUAAUUGAUGUAAAACCUGAUGCAUCUCCAUCCAUCUAUUCCAGCAUGUCUGUUGCUGGUUUUUUUCCUCCUGUAAUACUUCCUGAACUUACCUAAGCUUUUAUAAAGGGUUAGGAGAGAGAUUACUUUCAUAUGAAAAAAAAAGAGCUUCAAUGAUCCAUGGUCAUUUCAAGCACAUUUUCUUUAUUGCUGGACUGAAAUUUCCUCCCCUAAGCUUCCAAAAAAGCUAGGAAGUUAAAUUUGUUUGACACAACAUGAAGAUAAGAACUUCUGAAACAAAUUAUCCCCUUAACAUUCUAAGAAAAUCCUAGAGACUAUCAUGAAGUGUAAGUGGAACUAGAGCAGGAAGUUUGAAACUGGGAUGAAAUUCUGCUUUCUUCGUGUUAAUAAUGAGUUCUGCUAUCUCCCUGCUCUCAGUGUAGGAAAAAAAAAAAAGCUAUCAGUACUGAGGAAAUCUUAUUAGAUUCAACCCUAUUUUUAAACAGCUGGGAUCAAAAUCUUCAUUCAGACACACUAGUGCCACUCCAUUAAAUUCCAGCAGUGGCACCACUGGUAGAAAAAGAAUGGCACUCAGAUUUUUCACCAUUAAGUAAUCUGUUUUCAUUACCUUCUCAGCAGUUUGUUUCAUUUGCCUGCAGUAGAGAAACUAAAAUUAGAAAACAUUUCAUGUUCAUAGUUAGUUUGCUUCCAAUGUGAAAAAAAAACCAAGUCUAUAAAUUUGUCUAUUGGAUUAUGGCUUGUGCAGUUCUCUUGUAAAGUUGUCUUUACAUUAUAGUGAUGAACAGUAAAUGGUGUAGUGCAUUAUUUUGUCCAAAGUAAUUCAAAUUAAUGACCCUAGAAAUAUUAUUUUAGGUGCUGUUAUAAAGCAUUGACAAUACCCAUGAAUAUUACCAGCAGAAUUUCUUUUCUUUGUAAUGUAUGCAUUGCUAUGUGUUAAUAAACUAUUUUCUAAUCAUCUUCAGAACUUGCUGUCUCUUGCAGGAGUUCCACUUGCCAGUCUUGUGUCAAUUCUAGUAGCAAAUUAAUGUCAGGUAAAUGCUGAUAGCAAACUAUCAAGAGUUUGAAUACAUUUUUCUUGCCUUUACUUGCAUACUCAUGUUCACAUCUCACCUCACCUAAAGCACCACUGAUUCUGACUGAAAAUAGAAAAAAAAUUGAAGUGUGGUAAUCUCUUAGGUAAUCUAGCCACCUUGUAACUGUGAGAAUUAUGUUAGCUUAGAUUAAUUUAAAUGAAACUUUCAAAAAGGAGAAUAACAAAAAAAAAAGUGAAUUGUUUUUUUGGUUCAGAUAAACAUUACUCUGGAUGCUAAAAAUGGAUUUGCUUCUCAAGAAGGGAAGAGGUGUGUAUCUUCCUGCACUGUACUGGCUCAUGUGAUCCUUACUAAGAAAGUGUUAAGCCUUACCAACCACAAAUAGUAGCACUUUGAAAUUAUUGAAAAAAAAGACUCCACAGAUUUCUUCCAAACCACACAGUACCAGAAUUAGCACACAUUUGGGAAAUAUGCCAUCAUAGCAGUGUACAGAGACACUCUUAAGAAGCUUAAAGAUCAGAGGACAUGAAAUGAUUUGAGCUUCACAGAAACUUCUCUUGACUAAAUGUCAAGAUCACUUCCAAGAAAAUGCUAAUGGAUCACAAUAGCAUGAAGUCAACCAGCUUCUGGAUUUCAAAAGAGAGGACUGAAGAGUAAGGUUUCUAUUAAGUAAUAUUAAAAAAAAAACCCACUGUGGCAAUGAUGCUAGUGAACAUCUGUUUUCUGUAGUUGUCACAGACCUGUUGUGCUUCACUUUGUCCUGAAGAAAUGGUUCUGCAGCUCAUUAAGUUGCAUCCAUAAUGAGGCUGGCCAGUCAGUAGAAACAAUAACUUUGUCUGCACUUGCACAUGUCUAUUUUUUUUGUCAAUUAGUUCAUUCAAAAUUUCUUAAAUUCCUGUAAUAACUUCUCAAUCUCUCUUCCUGACAAAUUUUUACAAGUGAAUGAGCAUUAAACAUACAUUUCUUUAUUUUAAAGGUUGUUCAAUAGUCACAACCAAACCAACUUUAAAGUAAAGCAGAGAUUGAAAACAGAUCUGAAAUGUAUUCCUCAGAUCACAUUUGCCUAUAAACCCCAUAAAAAGUUAAAUUAUUCUUUUAAUACCAGGCACACCCUAAUUUUUUAGAGGCAGCUAGAUAUUUUAUACCCACAACGAGCUUUCCUUACUGCAGGCAAAUAAAAAUUUUUUCAACAUGCUGUAUGGAGUAUGUGCUCAUGUGCCAGAACUACAGAAAUCUGUAACUCUUUCUAUCCUAGAUGGGCAGAAUGAAUUUCAGAUUUAAUCACCCUGAUGCAUAAUCAGGACCACUGAUAAGGAGACACAGAAUAACUGUUAACAGAAAUCUGAUGCAUGCACAAAGCUGUAGCAUGCACAAUGCUUUAGUACAAAAGUAAGAGAUGAAUCUUCUGUAUGUGGCUUAUGAAAAAGACAUGAAGACCAGGUCCAUACUGACCAUUCCAAAAAUGUGCCACAAAUGGAAACUGAGUGGCUGUGUCCAUCUCAGUUGAAACCCAAGACAGCAGAAUAUCAGCCUCUUUCAGAUAACACAUCUGCUUAAACAAAAUGAUAAGCCACAGCAUUUAUGAAGAAUUCCAUUUUUUCUACUAAUGAUGGGAUUUGUUUCAUACAAGUUAAUAGCCAAAGCUAAAUAUGAGAUGGACUCCUAAGAAUUCAAAAUGCAGUCACUUCUUCAUGUUGUCUUCAGGGAAUGCCAUCUUUGGCUUCCUGAAGAAAGAGGUACAUGAUGGUUUUAAAGAAGCAGCUCUAAAGAUCCUUGAAUAUUUUAAUACAGAUAAAAUACUGCCCAGCUGCAAAGCCGUCUUUCAACAGUACCCUACAAAAACGCAAAGAAAUAUACACAAAGAAAGAAAAAGAGAGA
Molecule: long non-coding RNA, 9293 nt
Organism: Catharus ustulatus (Swainson's thrush)
Lineage: Eukaryota; Metazoa; Chordata; Aves; Passeriformes; Turdidae
Exons: 2
Source: RefSeq, a predicted model, not a curated record